Molecule: transfer RNA, 71 nt
Filed under: Myxococcus stipitatus DSM 14675
Lineage: Bacteria; Pseudomonadati; Myxococcota; Myxococcia; Myxococcales; Myxococcaceae
Description: tRNA-Met (CAT) (tRNA-Met-CAT-1-1)
Rfam family: tRNA
About the family: Transfer RNA (tRNA) molecules are approximately 80 nucleotides in length. Their secondary structure includes four short double-helical elements and three loops (D, anti-codon, and T loops).
Source: RNAcentral
GUCUGCGUAGCCCAUUGGAAGAGCCUCCGCCUCAUGAGCGGACAGCGAGGGUUCGAAUCCCUCCGCGGGCG